AUCCAACUGAUGAGUCCCAAGUAGGAUGUAACACGCGUCCUGCAU
This 45-nucleotide non-coding RNA is filed under the name Schistosoma mansoni. Lineage: Eukaryota; Metazoa; Platyhelminthes; Trematoda; Strigeidida; Schistosomatidae. The record is from RNAcentral.